UACGAAGGGGGCUAGCGUUGUUCGGAAUUACUGGGCGUAAAGCGCACGUAGGCGGAUAUUUAAGUCAGGGGUGAAAUCCCGGGGCUCAACCCCGGAACUGCCCUUGAUACUGGGUGUCUUGAGUGUGAGAGAGGUAUGUGGAACUCCGAGUGUAGAGGUGAAAUUCGUAGAUAUUCGGAGGAACACCAGUGGCGAAGGCGGCUCACUGGUCCAUUACUGACGCUGAGGUGCGAAAGCGUGGGGAGCAAACAGG
RNAcentral lists this ribosomal RNA (253 nucleotides) under uncultured bacterium. RNAcentral describes it as "partial 16S ribosomal RNA". It matches the Rfam family "Bacterial small subunit ribosomal RNA", at positions 524 to 776 of the family's 1533-position model. The record is from RNAcentral.